GACGAACGUUGGCGGCGUGCUUAACACAUGCAAGUCGAACGGAAAGGCCCUGCUUUUGUGGGGUGCUCGAGUGGCGAACGGGUGAGUAACACGUGAGUAACCUGCCCUUGACUUUGGGAUAACUUCAGGAAACUGGGGCUAAUACCGGAUAGGAGCUCCUGCUGCAUGGUGGGGGUUGGAAAGUUUCGGCGGUUGGGGAUGGACUCGCGGCUUAUCAGCUUGUUGGUGGGGUAGUGGCUUACCAAGGCUUUGACGGGUAGCCGGCCUGAGAGGGUGACCGGCCACAAUGGGACUGAGAUACGGCCCAGACUCCUACGGGAGGCAGCAGUGGGGAAUAUUGCACAAUGGGCGGAAGCCUGAUGCAGCAACGCCGCGUGCGGGAUGACGGCCUUCGGGUUGUAAACCGCUUUCGCCGGUGACGAAGCGUGAGUGACGGUAAUGGGUAAAGAAGCACCGGCUAACUACGUG
RNAcentral lists this ribosomal RNA (468 nucleotides) under uncultured bacterium. RNAcentral describes it as "partial 16S ribosomal RNA". It matches the Rfam family "Bacterial small subunit ribosomal RNA", at positions 28 to 507 of the family's 1533-position model. The record is from RNAcentral.